This 509-nucleotide ribosomal RNA is filed under the name Triamescaptor aotea. Its description in RNAcentral is "partial 16S ribosomal RNA". It matches the Rfam family "Bacterial large subunit ribosomal RNA", at positions 1796 to 2610 of the family's 2925-position model. The record is from RNAcentral. Lineage: Eukaryota; Metazoa; Arthropoda; Insecta; Orthoptera; Gryllotalpidae.
UCGCCCUGUUUUACAAAAACAUGGCCUUAUGAUUAUAAUAUAAGGUUUUACCUGCCCACUGAAAUUUGAAGGGCUGCAGUAUUCUGACUGUGCUAAGGUAGCAAAAUAAGUAGUCUUUUGAUUGUAGACUGGAAUGAACGGUUUGACGAGAUAAUAACUGUCUCUAUAAUUUAUAUUGAAAUUGAAUUUUAAGUAAAAAUGCUUAAAUAAAAGUAAGGGACGAUAAGACCCUGUAGAGUUUUAUAAAUGAUUUAUUUACAAUAAUAAAAAUAUUUAGCUGGGGUAGCUUGGUAUGAAAGAACUUACCAUAUUAAUACUAUAUAAUAGGACAAAGGAGCUUUUAUUAAAGAAUGGAGAGUAAAUUACCUUAGGGAUAACAGAUUAAUUUUUCUGGAGAGUACACAUCGAUAGACGAGUUUGAGACCUCGAUGUUGGAUUAAGAAAAUAAUUAGAUGCAGGAGUUUAAUUAAUAAGUCUGUUCGACUUUUAAAAUCUUACGUGAUCUGAGU